This 400-nucleotide ribosomal RNA is filed under the name uncultured bacterium. RNAcentral's name for it is "bacterial SSU rRNA". It matches the Rfam family "Bacterial small subunit ribosomal RNA", at positions 356 to 773 of the family's 1533-position model. The record is from RNAcentral.
GGGGAAUAUUGCACAAUGGGCGCAAGCCUGAUGCAGCCAUGCCGCGUGUGUGAAGAAGGCCUUCGGGUUGUAAAACUCUGUCUUUGGGGACGAUAAUGACGGUACCCAAGGAGGAAGCCACGGCUAACUACGUGCCAGCAGCCGCGGUAAUACGUAGGUGGCAAGCGUUGUCCGGAUUUACUGGGCGUAAAGGGAGCGUAGGUGGACAUUUAAGUGGGAUGUGAAAUACUCGGGCUUAACCUGGGUGCUGCAUUCCAAACUGGAUAUCUAGAGUGCAGGAGAGGAAAGGAGAAUUCCUAGUGUAGCGGUGAAAUGCGUAGAGAUUAGGAAGAAUACCAGUGGCGAAGGCGCCUUUCUGGACCGUAACUGACACUGAGGCUCGAAAGCGUGGGGAGCAAAC